RNAcentral lists this unclassified non-coding RNA (490 nucleotides) under Hevea brasiliensis (rubber tree). Lineage: Eukaryota; Viridiplantae; Streptophyta; Magnoliopsida; Malpighiales; Euphorbiaceae. The record is from RNAcentral.
GAAAUUCUGAACUUUAAUUUUUCUUUUUGAUGCAUGAUCCACAGUGGUAGUUCAACAUAGCUUUCUGUGCUAAGAGCGUUUAAACUUGCAUACCUUUUGUAGCUUUUUCACUUCUGCAAAUAGGCAAGAGUCUGUGUUAGUGGUUACUUACCUUAAUCAGAGUAUCUAGGGACAACAAUCUUGUAGUUUGUACUAGUAAUUAUCUUGUAUUGGCAAAUUCUUCUCAGUGUUUAUAGUUCAUUUGUUUAUAAAGGUGAAUGAUAUACAUGAAAUAUGAUACUCUAGAAAUGAGCAAUUUUAUUCAUGUCCUGACUAAUUUCUAUUAAUAGCUUAUCAUAUUUUUCUGACGGUUUAACCAUAGGAGAAAUGUGGAGAUUAUCUUUUAUGCUUUAAUUCAUGUUCUGAACCUUUCAUUUUGACGACUGAUUAUCAUUACUUAUAUGCAUGCUUUCUUGGGACAUAUAGCAGUAGUGGAGGUAUAGUGGCUUAU